AUAAAGAGGGCCACAAAGAUGUUCUUCAUCUCCAUUAUUUCUUGUUUUUUUUUUGUUUUUUUUUUUGGUUUUUUGUUU
Molecule: small RNA, 78 nt
Filed under: Arabidopsis thaliana (thale cress)
Lineage: Eukaryota; Viridiplantae; Streptophyta; Magnoliopsida; Brassicales; Brassicaceae
Description: ATSL143350
Source: RNAcentral